GACGAACGCUGGCGGCGUGCCUAAUACAUGCAAGUCGAGCGGACGGAUGGGAGCUUGCUCCCAGCCCGUCAGCGGCGGACGGGUGAGUAACACGUGGGCAACCUGCCUGUAAGACUGGGAUAACUCCGGGAAACCGGGGCUAAUACCGGAUAACUCUUUCCCUCACAUGAGGGAAAGCUGAAAGAUGGCAUCCCGCUAUCACUUACAGAUGGGCCCGCGGCGCAUUAGCUAGUUGGUGAGGUAACGGCUCACCAAGUGGACGAUGCGUAGCCGACCUGAGAGGGUCAUCGGCCCUACUGGGACUGAGACACGGCCCAGACUCCUACGGGAGGCAGCAGUAGCGAAUCUUCCGCAAUGGACGGAAGUCUGACGGAGCAACGCCGCGUGAGUCAUGAAGGUUUUCUGAUCGUAAAACUCUGUUGUCAGGGAAGAACAAGUACCGGAGUAACUGCCGGUACCUUGGCGGUCCCUGACCGGAAAGGCACGGCUAACUCCGUG
This 498-nucleotide ribosomal RNA is filed under the name uncultured bacterium. Its description in RNAcentral is "partial 16S ribosomal RNA". It matches the Rfam family "Bacterial small subunit ribosomal RNA", at positions 28 to 507 of the family's 1533-position model. The record is from RNAcentral.